RNAcentral lists this long non-coding RNA (972 nucleotides) under Helianthus annuus (common sunflower). RNAcentral's name for it is "hypothetical non coding rna". Lineage: Eukaryota; Viridiplantae; Streptophyta; Magnoliopsida; Asterales; Asteraceae. The record is from RNAcentral.
UUGGAAAUUAGGGCUUUAACUAAAUUCAUGACCAACCAUGCUAGGAGAUCACAAGUUGACUCUAAACAAGCUAGGUGGGAGCUUGGAAAAGAACGGGUCAAACGGAUCAUGGAUGCGAAGAAUGUUUGCGCGAACGCGAGGUAAGUAAAGCUUACACCCAUUUGUAGUAAACGUAUGUAUUUUAUAGAUGAUAAAUGUGACAACCGAUUACAUUCAAAAUUGAAGUUCCAACACUAAGCGAUAUGAGUCGGAACGAAUAAAAAUGAUCAAAACCACGGUUAAUGGUAAAAUGGACAAAAGGGUAAUUUAGUCGUGAAUCGACUAAGAAUUUAUAAGAUUUCUUUAAGGUUACCUUAUAGCGAAAUUAGUAAUGGGAAAAAGGGUAAAUUAGUCACAUGUUGACUAUAUGUAAGUUGGGAUUAAAAAGGAUACCCAUGGUGUAAGCCAUAACGAGUUAGAUACGUAAGAAGAAUGAUCUUGUAGUUAAAACUUGAAAUGGGUCGAAUGUGUGAAUGGGAUAUUAAAAGCCAUGUUUUGACAUAAGUAUACAUGUUUGGUCAUAAAUACCAAAUGGGUCAAAUGGUGGUGAUGACACCAUUUGACAAUAUCGACUAAUGUUUGGUUGUUAAGUUAAAUGUUCACAGGAGUGAACGGGAAGUGGAUUAUUGCGUUGCUAUAAAGUAGCGGCUAGUAAAAGAAAGGUACAAAACGGGUCUAUAUGUUGACUCAAGCCAGGUGAAUGCCAAGAGUGCCCGGAUGAAGGUCAAGCUCGAUGAGGAACCGAACACAAUAAAAUCUAACACUCGGGAUUAAAGCUUCCGCACGGCGUUACGCCAUAUCUUUUAAACGACGAACUUAUUUAUAUUACGUUGAAAACUUUUAAGUUGUAAGAGUUUUAGAUUACUUGUAUUUUCUAAGAAUACUUAAUCGCAACCUCAUGUUUAUUUUCGUUAUUUAUACGAAAACCUUAAA